RNAcentral lists this ribosomal RNA (497 nucleotides) under uncultured bacterium. RNAcentral's name for it is "partial 16S ribosomal RNA". It matches the Rfam family "Bacterial small subunit ribosomal RNA", at positions 28 to 507 of the family's 1533-position model. The record is from RNAcentral.
GACGAACGCUGGCGGCGUGCCUAAUACAUGCAAGUUGAGCGAUGAAGAUUGGUGCUUGCACCAAUUUGAAGAGCAGCGAACGGGUGAGUAACGCGUGGGGAAUCUGCCUUUGAGCGGGGGACAACAUUUGGAAACGAAUGCUAAUACCGCAUAACAACUUUAAACAUAAGUUUUAUGUUUGAAAGAUGCAAUUGCAUCACUCAAAGAUGAUCCCGCGUUUUAUUAGCUAGUUGGUGAGGUAAAGGCUCACCAAGGCGAUGAUACAUAGCCGACCUGAGAGGGUUGUCGGCCAAAAUUGGACUGGGACACGGCCCAAACUCCUACGGGAGGCAGCAGGAGGGAAUUUUCGGAAAUGGAGGAAAGGCUUACCGAGCAACGCCGCGUGAGGGAAGAAGGUUCUCGGAUCGUAAAACUCUGUUGGUAGAGAAGAACGUUGGUUAGAGUGGAAAGCUCAUCAAGUGACGGUAACUACCCAGAAAGGGACGGCUAACUACGUG